CCUACGGGAGGCAGCAGUGGGGAAUAUUGCACAAUGGGGGAAACCCUGAUGCAGCGACGCCGCGUGAGUGAAGAAGUAUCUCGGUACGUAAAGCUCUAUCAGCAGGGAAGAAAAUUACGGUACCUGACUAACAAUCCCUGGCUAAUUACUUCCCAGGAGCCGCGGUAAUACGUAGGGGGCAAGCGUUAUCCGGAUUUAGUGGGUUAAACGGGUGCGCAGGCGGAGGCAAAAGUCAGCGGUAAAAUCGCGGGGCUCAACCCCGUUCCGCCGUUGAAACUGGGUCCCUUGAGUGCGCGAAGGGUAGGCGGAAUGCGAGGUGUAGCGGUGAAAUGCAUAGAUAUCACGCAGAACUGCGGUCGCGAAGGCGGCCAACCGGCGCGCAACUGACGCUCAGGCACGAAAGCGUGGGUAUCGAACAGGAUUAGAUACCCCAGUAGUC
This 439-nucleotide ribosomal RNA is filed under the name uncultured bacterium. RNAcentral's name for it is "partial 16S ribosomal RNA". It matches the Rfam family "Bacterial small subunit ribosomal RNA", at positions 338 to 795 of the family's 1533-position model. The record is from RNAcentral.